Long non-coding RNA from Brassica napus (rape), 1533 nucleotides. RefSeq lists it as uncharacterized. The transcript has 3 exons. The record is from RefSeq and is a predicted model, not a curated record. NCBI's taxonomy places the organism in Eukaryota, Viridiplantae, Streptophyta, Magnoliopsida, Brassicales, Brassicaceae.
UAUUAAUCAUAUUAUACUGAUAAUUAUUAUAUUUUAUUACAAUAGUAUGUUUUUUAUAUUUUUUUAAUGUUAUAAUAUGUUAAUAUGAAUAAUUUAUUAUUAAACUGCUGCAAUAUCUUAUAAUCAACCAGUCGUAAAUAUUCCGCAAACGCAAUAAUUUUUAAAUGUUGUACCAGUCAUACAAAACGCUUAAUAACGCUUGAAACUGCAACCAUCCGCAUCUGCAUCCGCAAACUCUCGUAACCGCAACCGCUGCGUUUAAACCAGUGGGACCUUUAAUCAGUCUGUCACUACUACCGCGUACCACGUAGACCAAUAUCACUGUACAAAGACUGGUAAAGGAUCAGGACCAAAUGAUACGAUGGUUUAUUUUUUUGAUUACUAUGCGAGGAAUCAGUGAAUAUGAAAGAUUGAGUUAUAUAUUGUGAUUGUGGCUGUGAUACAAAUCAAAGAACAACACGUUCACUUGUCGAUUACUAUAAGAUAAAAAUUAAAUGUUGGUUGUUUCAUGUCAUUUUCUGACUUUGGUUUUGCCCCUCUCGAAUCCGCUUUUACCAAUUCAAUGUGAAAAUCUAUAUCUAUACCAUACAAAAAGAAAAAUGCUUUCAAAGGAAAGGCUGUCUAGGUCAGCUCAGAAAAUCGUUCAAUAGGAUCUUUUCUUUCUGACACGUCACUUUGCUCGCAUCUAAAUUUUUGGUUGUUUAAAGCACGUUUAUUGCUGUCCCUUAAGAAGGGUUGUUAACAUUAAUAGACAUUUAAAUUAAAUCAAAAAUGUGAUUAAAGCAAGGACUUAAUUAAGAGCUUGAAGGCUUUGCCUUUUCCUUCCUGCCAGGUGUCGCGUUGUUAUUGGAGAGAGGAAAAAACACGACCUCGGUUUCUUUUUGUCUUUUCUUCUUUCUCUCUUUCGUUCUCUUCUCUCUCUCGGCGAAAGGCGAUUCGAUUCAUCUUCUCUCCCUCUCCGUGGCUCUCAUCGACGGAACGGCGACGGCUCUAUUGGUGUGUCUCGGCGACGAAGGAAAACUGCUACCUUUCUAUCGGUGGCUCUUCUGGACCUUGGAAAACAGCGAGAAACGGUGACAUCUGUCUCUAUCAGUGGCUCCCUGAGACGAUCUAUACCGGCGACAGUUGCGGCUGAGACGAAUCGAAAGUGGAAUCGAUCAAGAGGCAUGAUGCUGAUUGUCUGAUCAAGAGGCUGUCCGAAAGAGAUUGUGUCUGUGUGGGUUAAGGUAUAUUUUGAGAAUCUCGGAGCCCAGCUACUAUAUUCAGGUUCAUUGAUCGUUUCAUCAAGGAUGUUAUUCUUGGCAAAAGGAAGCUCAAGAAAUUUCAACCUUUGAUGCAGCUUUGGAUAUGCUAUGAGUGACUUUUUGGAGUUCAUUGGAUGUUAGUUUAGUCUUGUUUAUUUUUUUGUCAAGGCUGACUUAACUUUUCUUUAAAACUUUUGUAUCAUUACAAACUCUUCUCAUAUCGUAUAUGAAAUUUCACAUUUUGGCAAAAAAAAAAAAACUCCUCGCCCUCCCCUCUCCAUUAUUGACG